ACUGAAACAUCCCCUUUGAGCUUAGAGAAUUAGCAGCACAUUUGUUCCUGUACUCCUCGUGAAUUAAGGAAACUGUGUUGGUGAUUGGGUCAUAAAGUUGUUCCCCUGCCUCUCGCCUUCGCAAACAGCUGAAGACUGUAGCAUGAAUGGCGGCUACACUUUUGUCGACAUUGGUGUUGUUAAUUUUAGGGACAAGGGUCAAGGGUCAUGUACUUUGCACGCACAGCAAAUCUUUCCAUGUGUUUCUCUUCGUUUGUGAUGUAUAUCAUGAAUGGGAUAAUAGAGGGAUGCUUCCUCAUGAGACCCAUCUACAUAAACAAGGGAAAUAAUGAAUGUGUGAAUAUGCUCCUGAUAGAAAAGAAGUUCUAGUUUUUUGAAUGGGAAAGACAAUUUUCUACAAGAAGGAAAAUUUACAUUGGUUUCUGUUA
Non-coding RNA from Amborella trichopoda, 428 nucleotides. The record is from RefSeq and is a predicted model, not a curated record. Lineage: Eukaryota; Viridiplantae; Streptophyta; Magnoliopsida; Amborellales; Amborellaceae.